CUGGGCCUGGGUCUGCUUCAAGUACUCCAGGAUCGGCUUGUAAAAGUGGGGAAAGCCUAUUCUGGAUGACUUGGUUCAGAAACAUGGCUG
MicroRNA precursor from Poecilia formosa (Amazon molly), 90 nucleotides. The record is from Ensembl. NCBI's taxonomy places the organism in Eukaryota, Metazoa, Chordata, Actinopteri, Cyprinodontiformes, Poeciliidae.